CUGCCGUGUAACAAACGCUGGUCCGAAAGGUAUUAGCUGAUCCUAGUGAGACUCGGUUCUACUCGGCGUGAUAAUUAUCUAACGUCGAGGACAUCUGUAAAGGUGGCCAAGUUGAACUAAUGGAUUGCUUCUAAUCGUCUUCAUCGACAACAUAUCAUCAAUCUGACCUCGAAUCAGGUGGGACUACCCGCUGAACUUAA
This 200-nucleotide unclassified non-coding RNA is filed under the name soil metagenome. Its description in RNAcentral is "partial contains internal transcribed spacer 2 and large subunit ribosomal RNA". The record is from RNAcentral.